AAAGUCGUAACAAGGUUUCCGUAGGUGAACCUGCGGAAGGAUCAUUACGCUCUGUGCCGUGCCUUUGGGUGACUACACCCAUUGGUUAUAGCCAGCAAACCCUUGUUCAUUAAUACCCUUUGUGAUUUCCUCGGUAGGGACGCCUGCCAGUGGAACCCCUUAAACUCUUCUGUAUGCAAGUAUUCAAUUAUUCAGAAUAAUCAAAUUAUUACAACUUUCAACAAUGGAUCUCUUGGUUCUG
This 241-nucleotide unclassified non-coding RNA is filed under the name Ascomycota sp. RNAcentral describes it as "partial contains small subunit ribosomal RNA, internal transcribed spacer 1, and 5.8S ribosomal RNA". The stretch from base 1 to 47 matches the Rfam family "Eukaryotic small subunit ribosomal RNA", at positions 1785 to 1831 of the family's 1831-position model. The record is from RNAcentral. Lineage: Eukaryota; Fungi; Ascomycota.